ACUCCUACGGGAGGCAGCAGUAGGGAAUCUUCCACAAUGGGCGCAAGCCUGAUGGAGCAACACCGCGUGAGUGAAGAAGGGUUUCGGCUCGUAAAGCUCUGUUGUUAAAGAAGAACACGUAUGAGAGUAACUGUUCAUACGUUGACGGUAUUUAACCAGAAAGUCACGGCUAACUACGUGCCAGCAGCCGCGGUAAUACGUAGGUGGCAAGCGUUAUCCGGAUUUAUUGGGGCGUAAAGAGAGUGCAGGCGGUUUUCUAAGUCUGGUGUGAAAGCCUUCGGCUUAACCGGAGAAGUGCAUCGGAAACUGGAUAACUUGAGUGCAGAAGAGGGUAGUGGAACUCCAUGUGUAGCGGUGGAAUGCGUAGAUAUAUGGAAGAACACCAGUGGCGAAGGCGGCUACCUGGUCUGCAACUGACGCUGAGACUCGAAAGCAUGGGUAGCGAACAGGAUUAGAUACCCUGGUAGGAUAGCG
RNAcentral lists this ribosomal RNA (474 nucleotides) under uncultured bacterium. Its description in RNAcentral is "bacterial SSU rRNA". It matches the Rfam family "Bacterial small subunit ribosomal RNA", at positions 335 to 801 of the family's 1533-position model. The record is from RNAcentral.